CGCUGACGAGUGGCGGACGGGUGAGUAAUGUCUGGGAAACUGCCUGAUGGAGGGGGAUAACUACUGGAAACGGUAGCUAAUACCGCAUAACGUCGCAAGACCAAAGAGGGGGACCUUCGGGCCUCUUGCCAUCGGAUGUGCCCAGAUGGGAUUAGCUAGUAGGUGGGGUAACGGCUCACCUAGGCGACGAUCCCUAGCUGGUCUGAGAGGAUGACCAGCCACACUGGAACUGAGACACGGUCCAGACUCCUACGGGAGGCAGCAGUGGGGAAUAUUGCACAAUGGGCGCAAGCCUGAUGCAGCCAUGCCGCGUGUAUGAAGAAGGCCUUCGGGUUGUAAAGUACUUUCAGCGGGGAGGAAGGGAGUAAAGUUAAUACCUUUGCUCAUUGACGUUACCCGCAGAAGAAGCACCGGCUAACUCCGUGCCAGCAGCCGCGGUAAUACGGAGGGUGCAAGCGUUAAUCGGAAUUACUGGGCGUAAAGCGCACGCAGGCGGUUUGUUAAGUCAGAUGUGAAAUCCCCGGGCUCAACCUGGGAACUGCAUCUGAUACUGGCAAGCUUGAGUCUCGUAGAGGGGGGUAGAAUUCCAGGUGUAGCGGUGAAAUGCGUAGAGAUCUGGAGGAAUACCGGUGGCGAAGGCGGCCCCCUGGACGAAGACUGACGCUCAGGUGCGAAAGCGUGGGAGCAAACAGGAUUAGAUACCCUGGUAGUCCACGCCGUAAACGAUGUCGACUUGGAGGUUGUGCCCUUGAGGCGUGGCUUCCGGAGCUAACGCGUUAAGUCGACCGCCUGGGGAGUACGGCCGCAAGGUUAAAA
Molecule: ribosomal RNA, 816 nt
Filed under: Shigella flexneri
Lineage: Bacteria; Pseudomonadati; Pseudomonadota; Gammaproteobacteria; Enterobacterales; Enterobacteriaceae
Description: bacterial SSU rRNA
Rfam family: Bacterial small subunit ribosomal RNA
Source: RNAcentral